Molecule: ribosomal RNA, 347 nt
Filed under: uncultured Methanoculleus sp.
Lineage: Archaea; Methanobacteriati; Methanobacteriota; Methanomicrobia; Methanomicrobiales; Methanomicrobiaceae
Description: bacterial SSU rRNA
Rfam family: Archaeal small subunit ribosomal RNA
Source: RNAcentral
GCGCGAAAACUUUACAAUGCGGGCAACCGUGAUAAGGGAACCUCGAGUGCCNGUAAAUGCAGGCUGUUCAGGUGCUUAAAACACACCUGAAGAAAGGGCCGGGCAAGACCCGGUGCCAGCCGCCGCGGUAAUACCGGCGGCUCGAGUGGUGGCCGCUUUUAUUGGGCUUAAAGCGUUCGUAGCUGGGUUGUUAAGUCUCUUGGGAAAUCUGGCGGCUUAACCGUCAGGCGUNUAAGGGAUACUGGCAAUCUUGGAACCGGGAGAGGUGAGGGGUACUUCGGGGGUAGGAGUGAAAUCCUGUAAUCCUCGAGGGACCACCUGUGGCGAAGGCGCNCUCACCAGAACGG